UACAGAGGGUGCAAGCGUUAAUCGGAAUUACUGGGCGUAAAGCGCGCGUAGGUGGUUUGUUAAGUUGGAUGUGAAAUCCCCGGGCUCAACCUGGGAACUGCAUCCAAAACUGGCAAGCUAGAGUAUGGUAGAGGGUGGUGGAAUUUCCUGUGUAGCGGUGAAAUGCGUAGAUAUAGGAAGGAACACCAGUGGCGAAGGCGACCACCUGGACUAAUACUGACACUGAGGUGCGAAAGCGUGGGGAGCAAACAGG
This 253-nucleotide ribosomal RNA is filed under the name uncultured bacterium. RNAcentral describes it as "partial 16S ribosomal RNA". It matches the Rfam family "Bacterial small subunit ribosomal RNA", at positions 524 to 776 of the family's 1533-position model. The record is from RNAcentral.